GCCCGGAUGGUCUAGAGGUAUGAUUCUCGCUUAGGGUUCCAAACUUCCUGAGUAUUGAUAUGCGAGAGGUCCCAGGUUCGAUCCCUGGUUCGGGCC
This is a non-coding RNA of Diatrype stigma, 96 nucleotides long. NCBI's taxonomy places the organism in Eukaryota, Fungi, Ascomycota, Sordariomycetes, Xylariales, Diatrypaceae. The record is from the annotation of a GenBank genome assembly.